AAGCAUCAUUGUUAUUACUGAAUUGUCAUUUUGGCGUGUUCCGAAAUGAAUGGAACCCCUCUGGCUGGAAAGAGGCUGGCUAAUGACCAAUCACGCAUUUCUGCACGAGAACUUAUGGAUAUUAUUUCUGGCAUAUGUGUGUAUUAAAGUCACAGGAAAUGUGAUCGAGUAUAUGCCCCCGCUUCCACCCCACCAGGGGUGUGGUGCAAUGAAUUUCAUUACUAUUAUCAUUCAACAUUAAGAGUGUGCAUAAUUCCGUUGUAAUGCACAAUCAGAUUUAUGAUGCAGAGUUACUUUGUAUCUCUUUCCAGACGUUGAUGGUGAGAGGAAAUGGAGCUUUCUUCAGUUUUGAUCCAGAGGAAAGAUGAAUUUUAUGUAAUAGUUCCCAAAUCUGCGACACCCCUUUUGUUUCCGAGGUGGACUCAACCAAAAUGAAUUCUAAACGAAUGUGAAGGUUUUGUGAAGAAGGCAGUGAUAAACAUCUAUUGGUUAUAAAUAGCGUGAAGUCUUCUAUAAAUCUUCUAUUGGCUAAAGGAAUUGCUCAAGUUGUAAAAAGUGAUCAAAUCUUUGAUCAAAAGUGGAUGAUAAAGGAACACCGUCAAAUGUUGAGAACGCUAUAAUACGCAGAAUGCUUCUUCCCAAAAUCUGAUGCAGAGAUGCGCUCUUAGAAGAAAUUAAAGAAAUGGAAAACAUCAUAUAGAUGGUGGAUUGUAGAAGAAAAUAAUUUAUGUAAAUAAAAUCAUUAUUUGUA
Molecule: long non-coding RNA, 751 nt
Organism: Parasteatoda tepidariorum (common house spider)
Lineage: Eukaryota; Metazoa; Arthropoda; Arachnida; Araneae; Theridiidae
Source: RefSeq, a predicted model, not a curated record